This 334-nucleotide long non-coding RNA is filed under the name Cricetulus griseus (Chinese hamster). Its description in RNAcentral is "lncRNA (ENSCGRG00015042149.1)". Lineage: Eukaryota; Metazoa; Chordata; Mammalia; Rodentia; Cricetidae. The record is from RNAcentral.
GUAGCACUUUCGGCUCCACCACCAUGUCUGCCUGCAUGCUGCCAUGUUUCCCACGAUGAUGAUAAUGGACUGAACCUCUAAAACUGGGAGAAGACUUAGGCCUCAUUUUUCCUGAGUCAAGGGACUCUAUUUCCAGAGCCCAUCAUCCAUCACAAGGGACACUGUAAAAACAUGCCAUGUGAUAUUUAGAAGGGCCAAGGUCCAGAGCCUCAAGGACAGAUCCAGGAACAUUGCAGAUCAAAGGAGAGUAGUAGGACCUGACUCCAAAGCCCAUUUUGCUAUAGGGAAAGAAUUUUGCACUGUAUCCUCACCCUCCACUCCCUGGAACUUACAU